UGGGGAAUUUUGGACAAUGGGCGCAAGCCUGAUCCAGCCAUGCCGCGUGCAGGAUGAAGGCCUUCGGGUUGUAAACUGCUUUUGUACGGAACGAAAAGACUCCUUCUAAUAAAGGGGGUCCAUGACGGUACCGUAAGAAUAAGCACCGGCUAACUACGUGCCAGCAGCCGCGGUAAUACGUAGGGUGCAAGCGUUAAUCGGAAUUACUGGGCGUAAAGCGUGCGCAGGCGGUUAUGCAAGACAGAGGUGAAAUCCCCGGGCUCAACCUGGGACCUGCAUUUGUGACUGUAUAGCUAGAGUACGGUAGAGGGGGAUGGAAUUCCGCGUGUAGCAGUGAAAUGCGUAGAUAUGAGGAGGAACACCGAUGGCGAAGGCAAUCCCCUGGGCCUGUACUGACGCUCAUGCACGAAAGCGUGGGGAGCAAACA
RNAcentral lists this ribosomal RNA (427 nucleotides) under uncultured bacterium. Its description in RNAcentral is "bacterial SSU rRNA". It matches the Rfam family "Bacterial small subunit ribosomal RNA", at positions 355 to 774 of the family's 1533-position model. The record is from RNAcentral.